AACAGUGGCAUUCCUACUACAAACCUGUUUGCACAAGGAGCGGUCGGCGUCAGUCGCACCCUGCUCAGAAAUACAGGUGGGAAAUUCGGUGAAACGCGGCGGAGCAACUAUUUCCGAGGGCCGUUCUCGGUCCUGAUUUCCGUGAGGAAAGCGUUUGGAAUUUAAACGCUUGGACGUUGUCAUCAGAAAUACACCAGUCUCUUGGCUGGAUGGGAAGGCAGCGGAUGCUCCGUUUGACUGUGUUUAGCUUCGGCGACACAGGUCUGUUGAGUGCAAUCGUAGGACACUUCUUAUGAGGUGAACCCGAUACCGAUUAUUGCCGGUGUU
This 327-nucleotide RNase P RNA is filed under the name Lachancea kluyveri. RNAcentral describes it as "Nuclear RNase P". It matches the Rfam family "Nuclear RNase P". Rfam says of the family: Ribonuclease P (RNase P) is a ubiquitous endoribonuclease, found in archaea, bacteria and eukarya as well as chloroplasts and mitochondria. Its best characterised activity is the generation of mature 5'-ends of tRNAs by cleaving the 5'-leader elements of precursor-tRNAs. Lineage: Eukaryota; Fungi; Ascomycota; Saccharomycetes; Saccharomycetales; Saccharomycetaceae. The record is from Rfam by way of RNAcentral.